GAUGAACGCUGGCGGCGUGCCUAAUACAUGCAAGUCGAGCGCGAGAGUGAGGAGCUUGCUCCUCAUGAUCGAGCGGCGGACGGGUGAGUAACACGUAGGCAACCUACCCUUGAGAUUGGGAUAACCACCGGAAACGGUAGCUAAUACCGGAUACGACUUUUCCACAUAAGUGGAAUGGUUAAAAGGCGGAUUUAUCUGCCGCUCAUGGAUGUGCCUGCGGUGCAUUAGCUAGUUGGUGAGGUAGUGGCUCACCAAGGCGACGAUGCAUAGACCACAUAAGAUGGUGAUAGGCCACACGGGGACUGAGACCUGGUCCAGACUCCUAGGGGAGGCAGCAGGAGGGAAUGUUGCGCAAUGGACGAUAGUCUGACGAAGCAACGACGUGUAAGUGUUGAAGGGUUUAAGCACGUAAAACUCUGUUGUUAAGGAAGAACACUUGAGGUAGUAACUGGCAUUGAAAGGACGGUACUUAACCAGAAAGCCACGGCUAACUACGUGCAAGCCGCCGCCGUAA
This 514-nucleotide ribosomal RNA is filed under the name uncultured bacterium. Its description in RNAcentral is "partial 16S ribosomal RNA". It matches the Rfam family "Bacterial small subunit ribosomal RNA", at positions 28 to 523 of the family's 1533-position model. The record is from RNAcentral.